UACAGAGGUCUCAAGCGUUGUUCGGAUUCAUUGGGCUUAAAGGGCGCGUAGGCGGGCUAUCAAGUCCGGGGUGAAAUCCUCCAGCUUAACUGGAGAAUGGCCUCGGAUACUGAUGGUCUCGAGGAGGAUAGGGGCACACGGAACUGUGGGUGGAGCGGUGAAAUGCGUUGAUAUCCAUAGGAACUCCGGUGGCGAAAGCGGUGUGCUGGAUCCUUUCUGACGCUGAGGCGCGAAAGCCAGGGGAGCAAACGGG
RNAcentral lists this ribosomal RNA (253 nucleotides) under uncultured bacterium. RNAcentral describes it as "partial 16S ribosomal RNA". It matches the Rfam family "Bacterial small subunit ribosomal RNA", at positions 524 to 776 of the family's 1533-position model. The record is from RNAcentral.